UGGGGAAUAUUGGUCAAUGGGCGAAAGCCUGAACCAGCAACGCCGCGUGAAUGAUGAAGGCCUUCGGGUUGUAAAGUUCUUUUGCCGGGGAAGAUAAUGACGGUACCCGGUGAAUAAGCCACGGCUAACUACGUGCCAGCAGCCGCGGUAAUACGUAGGUGGCGAGCGUUGUCCGGAUUUACUGGGUGUAAAGGGCGUGUAGGCGGGUCUGCAAGUCAGAUGUGAAAUCCCGGGGCUUAACCCCGGGGCUGCAUUUGAAACUGUGGGUCUUGAGUGAUGGAGAGGUAAGCGGAAUUCCCGGUGUAGCGGUAAAAUGCGUAGAUAUCGGGAGGAACACCAGUGGCGAAGGCGGCUUACUGGACAUUAACUGACGCUGAGGCGCGAAAGCGUGGGGAGCAAACA
This is a ribosomal RNA of 402 nucleotides. It matches the Rfam family "Bacterial small subunit ribosomal RNA", at positions 355 to 774 of the family's 1533-position model.